UACGUAGGGUGCGAGCGUUGUCCGGAACUACUGGGCGUAAAGAGCUCGUAGGUGGUUUGUCGCGUUGUUCGUGAAAACCGGGGGCUUAACCCUCGGCGUGCGGGCGAUACGGGCAGACUGGAGUACUGCAGGGGAGACUGGAAUUCCUGGUGUAGCGGUGGAAUGCGCAGAUAUCAGGAGGAACACCGGUGGCGAAGGCGAUCACCUGGCCCGAUACCGACGCUGAGACACGAAAGCCAGGGGAGCGAACGGG
RNAcentral lists this ribosomal RNA (253 nucleotides) under uncultured bacterium. RNAcentral's name for it is "partial 16S ribosomal RNA". It matches the Rfam family "Bacterial small subunit ribosomal RNA", at positions 524 to 776 of the family's 1533-position model. The record is from RNAcentral.